UACGUAGGGUGCAAGCGUUAUCCGGAAUUAUUGGGCGUAAAGAGCUCGUAGGCGGUUUGUCGCGUCUGCUGUGAAAACCGGAGGCUCAACCUCCGGCCUGCAGUGGGUACGGGCAAACUAGAGUGCGGUAGGGGAGAUUGGAAUUCCUGGUGUAGCGGUGGAAUGCGCAGAUAUCAGGAGGAACACCGAUGGCGAAGGCAGAGCUCUGGGCCGGAACUGACGCUGAGGAGCGAAAGCGUGGGGAGCGAACAGG
Molecule: ribosomal RNA, 253 nt
Filed under: uncultured bacterium
Lineage: Bacteria
Description: partial 16S ribosomal RNA
Rfam family: Bacterial small subunit ribosomal RNA
Source: RNAcentral